UGUGUGUGCCGUCACCUGAGGGAGGACCUAAUGUAUAAAUACAGGCAUGAAAACAUCGUUUUCACAGUGAGGAGCAAGACAAGACACGAGUUUUUUUCUGUGCUGACACAUCUGAUCUCUCAGUAUGAGCUGUGAACAGGGUAGGUGAUGUUUGACUGUAAAGAUAUUUUUAUUCAAUGUAUAUAUUAUAUUUAUUGUGUCUACCAUUUACAACCAAUUCAAUUGAUUUUCUUUUCAUUUCUUGAUAUCUUCUACAGAACACCAAAAGGUAAAAUUCACAAAAGAUCACAAAAAGACAUAUGAAUGAAUACGUGCAGAUUAAAUAAAUGACAUUUAAAUAUGUCCUAAAUUAAAACGAGCAUUGAAACAGGACAAUAAUUCUUUUGAUUUACUGAUUUGUAAACAGCCCUGCACCCAAGACGAUUCUGACUCUGGAUCAGAGUGCUCCGGAGAUGAAGGAGUAAAGGGGAAGAAGGGAAAGGGCAAGGGUCAAGGAAAAGGAAAGGGAAAGGGUCAAGAGCACGGACAUGGACACGGCCACGGAGGUCAAGGUCAAUGUGGCAAAAGUGACCAACAUAAAAAAAAAUGAUGGAGUCUGAGCUGAUGACGGAGGAGGAGAAGAUUCUGUCCAAUCCUGCACUGAGCGACGCUGGGCUUCAGCAAUGACAUUAAAACAACCUUAAAAUAAUGAAACUGUGUCUGUGUUUAACUAAUGAUUGUUAUUAUUCAAUAAACUGACAUCAAACACA
Molecule: long non-coding RNA, 749 nt
Organism: Triplophysa rosa
Lineage: Eukaryota; Metazoa; Chordata; Actinopteri; Cypriniformes; Nemacheilidae
Exons: 4
Source: RefSeq, a predicted model, not a curated record